Molecule: unclassified non-coding RNA, 2558 nt
Filed under: Hevea brasiliensis (rubber tree)
Lineage: Eukaryota; Viridiplantae; Streptophyta; Magnoliopsida; Malpighiales; Euphorbiaceae
Source: RNAcentral
AGAGAGAGAGAGAGAGAGAAUCAAGAAAGAGGCCCGUUUAUUUCCUCUUUCCCGCUCGCUCCCUAUCGCACAGAAGCUUAUACUGUAAUAGUAAUACAUAUCUCACUGACAUUAACAUCAGAGACUGGAGCUGGAGAAGAAAAGGAUAAUCUAUGGAGGACGGCGCAGGAAGAGGUUUGGAAUGCCAGAAGAUUAUGGAUAUGAAGGUGAAUAAUGGAAAUGGCUCAAAGAAGGCUAUUCCUUCUUGUUGCUUGAAGGCUAGAGCCUCUGCACCUGAGCUUGAUGCCAAAUGCCAUUCGACAGUUGUUUCUGGGUGGUUCUCAGAAUCUUAUUCCUGCUCUGGUAAAGGUAGCAAAAGGGUUUACUUCAACAACCCGAUGUGGCCUGGAGAAGCACAUUCAUUGGAGGCAAAGAACAUUUUGUACAAGGGAAAGUCAGAAUACCAAGAGAUCUUGGUUUUUGAGUCAUCUACAUAUGGAAAAGUGCUCGUUCUUGAUGGCAUUGUUCAGUUAACUGAGAAAGAUGAGUGUGCCUACCAGGAGAUGAUAGCUCAUCUUCCGCUUUGUUCAAUUCCAUCGCCCAAAUCUGUAUGCAUUACUUUCAUUCCAUCGUUAUGCUAAUGUCGUGCACUCCAGAGUUUCUUCAAUAGAGCAAUAUUCUCAUCUCGCCAUGUUAUUGAUAGAAACCUUUUUUUGACUUCUAUACUGUAUAUUUUGAAAUGCUAUAUUCUGUAGUCUUUAAAAGGAUAAGCAAAUUACAUUAGUGGUUUAAGAUAGCCUGUUGAUUUGUUGUAUCAAUUUUCCUGAGCUUGGCUUUCAACAAAUCCCUACUACCCUGUGAACUGGGUUUGCUAUAAAAGUUCAAUUUUGAAGGCCUUUAGUAAAAAAAGGAAUAAAGGAUGUUGAAUAAAAUUGCAUGAAGCCACAAUAUUAUUCAAAUUUACCAUGCUUUUUUAUAUGUUAUUGACAAUUAUUUUGAUUCAUGCUACUCUAUUGUUUGUCAUUUUACAUUAGAUUUUGUAUAAAAUUACAACUGUUGCUUUCAAUUGGAAACCACAUUAAGUCUUUUCAAAAACUAGUCUGCUUCUUAACUAUGCAUGGUCAAAUUAUUCUAUUCAGAGUUUAUCUAUGCUUAUUUCAUAUACAUGAUGUAGGUUCUCGUUGUUGGUGGUGGUGAUGGUGGGGUUCUUAGAGAAAUUUCUCGCCAUAGUUCUGUGGAGCUCAUUGAUAUUUGUGAGAUAGAUAAGAUGGUUAUAGACGUGUGCAAGGAAUAUUUUCCAGAAUUAUCUGUUGGAUUUGAGGACCCUCGUGUCCGACUACAUGUAGGUGAUGCUGUGGAAUUUCUUCGUCUUGCUCCUGAAGGGAAGUACGAUGCAAUUAUUGUUGAUUCAUCAGACCCUGUAGGUAUGUUGUAGAAUUUGAACUGUUGUAAUUCUCUUAUAAUUCGUAGGGUGCAUGUGUGAUUUGCUUAUUAUCACAAUGGGUGUGCCAUGUCUGUGUUGUAUCAAGUUAAGCUGUCGGCACCAAAGAGGAAAGGGGAUGUAUUGCCAAUAACCAUUAGCUGGGCACAUUUUCGCAAUUAUGGGAAUGAUGAUCUUUGUGCAAGUUUUGGUUUCUGAGAAUUUAUUUAAAGAUGUUUGGAACUGUCUAUGUGUUGAUGGUUCAAAAAUUCUAGGAAACUAGGUAAUGUAUUAGGCUUAGUUCAAGUUUCCUGGAUGUUGGCUUUAUGUUGAUCCAUAUAGCAUAUUUGAAAUUUGUUUUCAAAAACAUUAUGCAUAUGGAAAUAUUUCUCUUUAUGGUUUAGGUCCAGCUCAAGAGCUUGUGGAGAAGCCCUUUUUUCAGACAAUAGCUAAAGCAUUAAGGCCUGGUGGAGUCCUUUGUAAUAUGGCAGAAAGUAUGUGGCUUCAUACACAUCUUAUUCAGGAUAUGAUCUCUAUUUGCCGCGAAACAUUCAAGGGUUCUGUCCACUAUGCGUGGGCAAGUGUUCCAACAUAUCCAAGUGGUGUGAUUGGAUUUCUCAUAUGCUCAACAGAGGGGCCACCUGUUGAUUUCUUGAAUCCUGUCAAUCCUAUUGAGAAGUUAGAAGGAGCAGUCAAAUAUAAAAGAGAACUUAGGUUCUAUAACUCAGAGAUCCACUCAGCUGCAUUUGCAUUGCCAACAUUUUUGAAGAGGGAGGUGAGAUUGCUUCGUGAUUCUCCAAUCCCGACAGGAAGAAUUCACGUUUUGUAGUCUCUGCUUAUAAGAAUUUUAAGAUGAGUGAAACUAUUUGUUAAUGGGAAUUUGAUUCGAGGCAGGUGUCACGCAUAUAGUUGCAUGGGUGGGGUCAGUGGCUUUGCCUUGGACAUUUUGUGGAAGAUCUUAUUGAUUGUGAUGUAUUAUGGUUUCUAGGUACAUGUAACUAGCUGAUGAGUUAUUAGGUGAUAGCUACACGGUGUUUUGGCAGAUGAUGGCAGCUACCUCAUCAAGCGGAGUCAUAAAAAUCUGAUGCUUUCAGUUAUGUCGAUUAAGAAUCAAUGGCCAAUGAUAAUAAAUAAUAGUCGGCAGUAGAAUUACUUUGAG